RNAcentral lists this ribosomal RNA (254 nucleotides) under uncultured bacterium. Its description in RNAcentral is "partial 16S ribosomal RNA". It matches the Rfam family "Bacterial small subunit ribosomal RNA", at positions 524 to 776 of the family's 1533-position model. The record is from RNAcentral.
UACAGAGGGUGCAAGCGUUAAUCGGAAUUACUGGGCGUAAAGCGCGCGUAGGUGGUUUGUUAAGUUGAAUGUGAAAUCCCCGGGCUCAACCUGGGAACUGCAUGCAAAACUGGCAAAGCUAGAGUAUGGUAGAGGGUGGUGGAAUUUCCUGUGUAGCGGUGAAAUGCGUAGAUAUAGGAAGGAACACCAGUGGCGAAGGCGACCACCUGGACUGAUACUGACACUGAGGUGCGAAAGCGUGGGGAGCAAACAGG